This 460-nucleotide ribosomal RNA is filed under the name uncultured bacterium. RNAcentral describes it as "partial 16S ribosomal RNA". It matches the Rfam family "Bacterial small subunit ribosomal RNA", at positions 338 to 795 of the family's 1533-position model. The record is from RNAcentral.
CCUACGGGCGGCAGCAGUGAGGAAUAUUGGUCAAUGGGCGCGAGCCUGAACCAGCCAAGUCGCGUGAGGGAGGACGGCCCUACGGGUUGUAAACCUCUUUUGCCGGGGAGCAACGGGCGUCACGUGUGGCGCCACUGAGAGUACCCGGAGAAAAAGCAUCGGCUAACUCCGUGCCAGCAGCCGCGGUAAUACGGAGGAUGCGAGAGUUAUCCGUCUUUAUUGGGUUUACAGGGUGCGGCGGCGGCGCGGUAAGUCAAGGGUCAAAUUGAGGGGCUCAAACCCUGCCCGUCAUUGAAACUGGCGCUCUUGAGUGGAAGAGAGGUAUGCGGAAUGCGUGGUGUAGCGGUGAAAUGCAUAGAUAUCACGCAGAACCCCGAUUGCGAAGGCAGCAUGCCGGCUUCCGACUGACGCUGAAGCACGAAAGCGUGGGGAUCGAACAGGAUUAGAUACCCCAGUAGUC